Ochlerotatus camptorhynchus is the source of this 1018-nucleotide long non-coding RNA. RefSeq lists it as uncharacterized. The record is from RefSeq and is a predicted model, not a curated record. The transcript is spliced from 3 exons. Lineage: Eukaryota; Metazoa; Arthropoda; Insecta; Diptera; Culicidae.
UCCGAUGGUGAUUAUCCUGGGCAAGCGUCUAAAGUACGCCCUGACCUACACCGAGUUCACUAAGUUGUGAUGCACCGACCCGAACUACCCGGGUGGAUCCAAGGAUUAAAUUGCUACUGACAAGACGAGCGAGAACUUCCAUCUGAUCUAAGACGUCAAGCGUUGGGCCCCGUGCACUGUAUCACCGCAGAGAAAGUCAAGUAUCACCAGCAUUGCCAGGUUAAUAGCUUCCAUAUCGGACCGAAAAAUAUGCCGUACCAACCGACCGUUGAUGGACGUGAACCUGUACAAUAUCUCUACCGGAUGUAAUGAACGUGCCCAAGUUCGAACCCGGAAAUACGUCCAUGAUGUCCGGAGGAAGAAAUUUGAAACAUGAGUGCAAAUGGUUUUUUUUUUGUUAAAGAGACUUUCAGCCUUGGGCUGGUUCGUCUCUCAGAAUGCAAAUGGUUUUGUUUUCAAAUUCUCAUAUGAUAUGAGUGGUGCAUGUCGAGUUUGAAUCAAGUAAGAUUUGUACCAUUUCCCUUAGGCCACUCUAAACAUGUCCGUAUGAAUAAUGUGGUCUUAGGCACUCAAUAUGACUGCCAAUGAUUUAAAACUCUCAUGUCAUCUGAUGUGUUGCAUGUUUAAGCAUGGUUGGAAUAAGUUUAUGGUCAGUUCCCAGAGAGUACCCGGAAUAUUUCCAUGUGAUCCAUGUUGUCCUUGUCACUCAUUGGUUUUAUGUUAUUAUUGCUUUGGGAAAUGUUUAAACACUUAUUUGAACCAAAACCCAACAUGUUCCAUUAAAAUGAUACGAGUAUCUUGACAUUAAUUUAUUAUAUCGUAAAAUUGCCAUUCACCGCUCACUGCUUACGUAUUAUCAUUAUUUACAUAGAGAUACGUGAUGUUCACCGACGUGUAAAGUUGUUUAUUAUUUCCCUUUGAGCAACAUAAAAAUGUAUGAAAUUAUAUCUGUCAAAAUGAGUUUGACUGAGAUUUAUUAUGUAUUUUCCUCGGAUUUUCACUAACACGCUCUCAUAUA